AAUCUCUAUUAGAGGCCAUGGAAGUAAGAAGAAGAAAGAGAGAGACACAGAUAGAGGAACCAAGUCAUGACAAGUGAAAGGAGGAGAAGAGGCAGACACCCGGACCCAGACCUGGACCAAGGCACCCUCGCCCGCCAUUGAUCUCAGAGCCAAGGUCUGGGGGGGAAGGCAAUGAGAAGCCUAGGACAGAGAUGCUGUCUCCCUUGGAUGAUGUAUGGAUGCAUGUGAAGCCUGGAACUAAAGAAGAAACUAGAUCUUUCCUUGAUGACAUGGGACACUGAACUUCACAGGCAGCCGUGUGAAAAUGAGCCAAGCAUCGUGUAUAUCUGAGACUUCGUUUUCUCAUCUAUGAAGUGGGCAUAAUUGUUUCCCUGCCCACUUCACAGGGUUGCGAUGGGGGAGUGUUAAGAAGCUUCUCUAGAUCCAGUAAGUGGUAAGUGGCAGCGCUCGGCUUCAUACCAGAGGGCGGGCUCUGAGCCCCCAGGCCACAUUGCUGCUCGACGGUCACACGGUCAACACAAACACACAUGAUUACUCCUAAGGGCCUUCUGUUCCCUGAGAAGAGAGGUCUUCAAAGUAUGGUCCCUGGGAAGCACCGUCAGCAUUCCCUGGGGACCUGUUAGAAAUGCAAAUUCUCGGCUCGCAUCCCAGGCCUAUCUGAUCAGAAAGUCGGGGAGGAGGCAGGAUUCUGAAGAAGCUCAGCAGGCAGUUCUGAUGCAUACUCAAAGUCCAGAACCACUGAGCUAGAAAAUACUUUCAAGAAGUCUGAUUCGUGUUCAAAUCUGGGCAAGACUAUUCCUUAAGGGGUGAGAGGAGUCAUUCGUGCUAAUGCUAAGGUCAUAUGGUAUGACUGCAGAAGUUGAAAUGGCAAAGAAAAAUGUAUGUCCAAUUGUAAUGUGCAAAUUAAGACUGCAAAAUUGAAUA
Hyaena hyaena (striped hyena) is the source of this 924-nucleotide long non-coding RNA. RefSeq lists it as uncharacterized. NCBI's taxonomy places the organism in Eukaryota, Metazoa, Chordata, Mammalia, Carnivora, Hyaenidae. The record is from RefSeq and is a predicted model, not a curated record. The transcript has 6 exons.